This 72-nucleotide transfer RNA is filed under the name Haemonchus contortus (barber pole worm). Its description in RNAcentral is "tRNA, Pseudo". Lineage: Eukaryota; Metazoa; Nematoda; Chromadorea; Rhabditida; Trichostrongylidae. The record is from RNAcentral.
UCCCUAGUGGCUCAGUCAGUAAAGAAUCUGCCUGCAGUGCAAGAGACCCGGGUUCGAUCCCUAGAUUGGGAA